UACGUAGGGGGCUAGCGUUGUCCGGAAUCAUUGGGCGUAAAGCGCGCGUAGGCGGCUAGAUAAGUCCGGUGUGAAAGUCACAGGCUCAACCUGUGAAUGCCGCUGGAAACUGUCUGGCUUGAGUCCGGAAGAGGAGAGUGGAAUUCCUGGUGUAGCGGUGAAAUGCGCAGAUAUCAGGAAGAACACCCGUGGCGAAGGCGGCUCUCUGGGACGGUACUGACGCUGAGACGCGAAAGCGUGGGGAGCGAACAGG
This 253-nucleotide ribosomal RNA is filed under the name uncultured bacterium. Its description in RNAcentral is "partial 16S ribosomal RNA". It matches the Rfam family "Bacterial small subunit ribosomal RNA", at positions 524 to 776 of the family's 1533-position model. The record is from RNAcentral.